CCUACGGGAGGCAGCAGUGAGGAAUAUUGGUCAAUGGGCGCGAGCCUGAACCAGCCAAGUAGCGUGAAGGAUGACUGCCCUACGGGUUGUAAACUUCUUUUAUAAAGGAAUAAUGUGAUGCACGCUUGCCUUUUUGUAUGUACUUUCUGAAUAACGAUCGGCUAACUCCGUGCCAGCAGCCGCGGUUAUACCGGGGAUCCGAGCGUUAUCAGGAUAUUUUGGGUUAAAAGUGAAGGUAGAUGGGUUGUUAAUGCAGUUGGGAAUGUUUGGGUCUCAACCGUAAGAUUGCAAUGGAUACUGGCAGUCUUGAGUACAGUUGAGGUAGACGGAAUUAGUGGUGUAGGGGUGAAAUGCUUAGAGAUCACGAAGAACUCCGAUUGCGAAGGCAGCUUACUAAACUGCCACUGACAUUGAUGCUCGAAAGUGUGGGUAUCAAACGGGAUUAGAUACCCCUGUAGUC
This 460-nucleotide ribosomal RNA is filed under the name uncultured bacterium. Its description in RNAcentral is "partial 16S ribosomal RNA". It matches the Rfam family "Bacterial small subunit ribosomal RNA", at positions 338 to 795 of the family's 1533-position model. The record is from RNAcentral.